RNAcentral lists this ribosomal RNA (1278 nucleotides) under Vibrio sp. RNAcentral's name for it is "bacterial SSU rRNA". It matches the Rfam family "Bacterial small subunit ribosomal RNA", at positions 30 to 1287 of the family's 1533-position model. Lineage: Bacteria; Pseudomonadati; Pseudomonadota; Gammaproteobacteria; Vibrionales; Vibrionaceae. The record is from RNAcentral.
UGAACGCGGGCGGCAGGCCUAACACAUGCAAGUCGAGCGGAAACGAGUUAACUGAACCUUCGGGGGACGUUAACGGCGUCGAGCGGCGGACGGGUGAGUAAUGCCUAGGAAAUUGCCCUGAUGUGGGGGAUAACCAUUGGAAACGAUGGCUAAUACCGCAUGAUGCCUACGGGCCAAAGAGGGGGACCUUCGGGCCUCUCGCGUCAGGAUAUGCCUAGGUGGGAUUAGCUAGUUGGUGAGGUAAGGGCUCACCAAGGCGACGAUCCCUAGCUGGUCUGAGAGGAUGAUCAGCCACACUGGAACUGAGACACGGUCCAGACUCCUACGGGAGGCAGCAGUGGGGAAUAUUGCACAAUGGGCGCAAGCCUGAUGCAGCCAUGCCGCGUGUGUGAAGAAGGCCUUCGGGUUGUAAAGCACUUUCAGUCGUGAGGAAGGUAGUGUUGUUAAUAGCUGCAUUAUUUGACGUUAGCGACAGAAGAAGCACCGGCUAACUCCGUGCCAGCAGCCGCGGUAAUACGGAGGGUGCGAGCGUUAAUCGGAAUUACUGGGCGUAAAGCGCAUGCAGGUGGUUUGUUAAGUCAGAUGUGAAAGCCCGGGGCUCAACCUCGGAAUAGCAUUUGAAACUGGCAGACUAGAGUACUGUAGAGGGGGGUAGAAUUUCAGGUGUAGCGGUGAAAUGCGUAGAGAUCUGAAGGAAUACCGGUGGCGAAGGCGGCCCCCUGGACAGAUACUGACACUCAGAUGCGAAAGCGUGGGGAGCAAACAGGAUUAGAUACCCUGGUAGUCCACGCCGUAAACGAUGUCUACUUGGAGGUUGUGGCCUUGAGCCGUGGCUUUCGGAGCUAACGCGUUAAGUAGACCGCCUGGGGAGUACGGUCGCAAGAUUAAAACUCAAAUGAAUUGACGGGGGCCCGCACAAGCGGUGGAGCAUGUGGUUUAAUUCGAUGCAACGCGAAGAACCUUACCUACUCUUGACAUCCAGAGAACUUUCCAGAGAUGGAUUGGUGCCUUCGGGAACUCUGAGACAGGUGCUGCAUGGCUGUCGUCAGCUCGUGUUGUGAAAUGUUGGGUUAAGUCCCGCAACGAGCGCAACCCUUAUCCUUGUUUGCCAGCGAGUAAUGUCGGGAACUCCAGGGAGACUGCCGGUGAUAAACCGGAGGAAGGUGGGGACGACGUCAAGUCAUCAUGGCCCUUACGAGUAGGGCUACACACGUGCUACAAUGGCGCAUACAGAGGGCGGCCAACUUGCGAAAGUGAGCGAAUCCCAAAAAGUGCGUC